GCUCCGAUAGCUCAGUGGGGACAGUGGCACAACAAGUGGGCGACAACCAUGAGGUCACCGGAUCGAAACCGGCUUGGAGCA
Molecule: non-coding RNA, 81 nt
Organism: Cymbomonas tetramitiformis
Lineage: Eukaryota; Viridiplantae; Chlorophyta; Pyramimonadophyceae; Pyramimonadales; Pyramimonadaceae
Source: the annotation of a GenBank genome assembly